This 517-nucleotide long non-coding RNA is filed under the name Urocitellus parryii (Arctic ground squirrel). RNAcentral's name for it is "lncRNA (ENSUPAG00010015873.1)". Lineage: Eukaryota; Metazoa; Chordata; Mammalia; Rodentia; Sciuridae. The record is from RNAcentral.
AUGAGAGCAAACAGGCAGGAUCACAGCCCAGGAGUGAGAAAUAAGGUCUGAUGAGUCAGRUACUGGGAUUCUUUUCUGAAUAUUUAAAGACAACUAUGGUAAGGAAGAGGUCUUAGUUCAAAUAAACCAUGGCUCUGGGCUUCUUGGUGUGAAUCAACAUGAGCUUGGGCUUUCAAGACAGGUAAAUAUGGGGGGAAAGAAGAACCAGUUGCAGUAGCAGGGGAAAGAGAGCUUUCGCUGAAAGAAACUCUGAAGCACCUCAGAUUCUUCUGGCAUUAGCUACCUGGGUGGUGAAGAGGUGGAUCCUGAACACAGAAAGAACUUUAGUCCUGCAAGAGAAUGAGUUUCUAAACUCCUGCUGGUUGGAAUUAGAGGCACAAAUCUAGGGUCAUGGAACUGACCAGCUCCUGUGGUCAUACAGGAUCAGACUCAUAGCUUUGGCCUUAUUAUCCAGAGUUCUCUCAGCAGCACUGGAUGGUUCUCAGGCUACGCUGUACAUUCCAGAAUCAAUGAGUAG